Molecule: long non-coding RNA, 2073 nt
Organism: Oncorhynchus tshawytscha (Chinook salmon)
Lineage: Eukaryota; Metazoa; Chordata; Actinopteri; Salmoniformes; Salmonidae
Source: Ensembl
CUGUUCUUCACCAUACUAUUCCUCUGUUCUUCACCAUACUAUUCCUCUGUUCUUCACCAUACUAUUCCUCUGUUCUUCACCAUACUCUCUCCAGAACACUGAUGCCUUUCUGUAGUGUUUGGGUACUUCGUUAUAUUUCAGUCCACAUUAAUAACCCUUUACAGUUCAUAGGUCAACUACAUGCUAGCUGCAUCUGGACUCCACCUUCAGUCCAGUAGACGGUGGUUUAUUACUUGCUUAGAGAAGAGCAAAUAUGUUCUAAACCAGGGGUCUGUUCAGGAGUAACAUAUUUUUUCCAAUUGAAAAAAUGUACUAAAUUAACUUGGCUAUUUAGAGAGCAAAUUUUUGUUUUCCAUUUGUGCUUUCUGAACGUAACCCAACCCAGGGUUGUUCUCUCUGUGGAUACACAGUGUUGCAGGUAGAAAUAGCAUCUAUAUAUCACAUUUCACAAGGAAAAUAGAAUGUCUUCUCUAUUAGAUGUAAAAUCUAUCUGUAACAUUGUUUCUCUGUUCCCUGUCUUCUCUAUUAGAUGUAAAAUCUAUCUGUAACAUUGUUUCUCUGUUCCCUGUCUUCUCUAUUAGAUGUAAUAUAUAUCUGUAACAUUGUUUCUCUGUUCCCUGUCUUCUCUAUAGAUUGUUUCUCCGUUCCCUGUCUUCUCUAUAGAUUGUUUCUCUGUUCCCUGUCUUCUCUAUUAGAUGUAAUAUAUAUCUGUAACAUUGUUUCUCUGUUCCCUGUCUUCUCUAUAGAUUGUUUCUCCGUUCCCUGUCUAAUAUGUGCCUCCCAAAUGGCACCCAUAGGGCUCUGGCUACAGGUUGUGCACUACAUAGGGAAUAGGGCCCUGGUUAAAAUUGUGCACUACAUAGGGAAUAGGGCCCUGGUUAAAGUAGUGCACUACAUAGGGAAUAGGGCUCUGGCUAAAGUAGUGCACUACAUAGGGAAUAGGGUUCUGGUUAAAGUAGUGCACUGCAUAGGGAAUAGGGUGCCAUUUGGGAUGCACCCCUGGACUAACUAACUCAGAGGUCCUGAACAGUCAUUCUGAUUCCCAUGUAAAGUAGCCUUUUGAGUGACCAAAACAUCACCCAUAAUUAUUAUUUUUUUCUCCUCUAGAAAUGCUCUGAAUGUUAAAAAAAAAUGUAAAAGUAUUUUUUUAUUUUAUGUCAAACUACCAGGAAGUCUGAAAAGACAGAUUGUGCGGGGAGAUCACCUGACGGUUCUUUGGAAACGGCCAUGUCAAGCAACAUGGACGCAGUGUUGCCAUGUUGCAGUGACAUUAUCUCAAGCAAAUUGCGUGCAACUUCCAUUCCUUUCAGACAUCACAUCAUGGUUUCAGAAAUAUAUAUAUAUUUAUUUAUUUAUUGUCAGCACCAUUUUAUAUAGCUAUCUUGGACAAUUUGAUUUGAAACGACAGGGUGGAGUCUGGGUAAACGUCAUGCAUUUUAUAUAUGUUGACUGCCAGACAAUGGUCAUAUAUCAUGACUAUGUCAAGAAGUUUGCAACGUUAAUGUAACGACAUGGCCUUUGGUGUAUUAAAAUAAGAGUUUAUUUUUGUGACCUCCUCCUGAGUCCAAGUGUUUGACAAGUGGGGGAGGGGUAUCAGUAACUUUAUGAUCCAACUUGAUCAAUGUAGAAGCAACAGUCAUUUAUCAUACAUUGGUCUUCCUACUUUGAUCUGGUUUCAACCAAAUAUCAUGAAACUUCAUGAAGAAAAAAACAAUUUUGACUGUUCAGGACCUUUAACAGAACAUGGUUUGGUGACAGGGUCUUAUUUGUAUGCUAUGUAAAUAAUACCAUUUUAUUUAUUUGAAAAGUUCAACAAUAUAUUUAUCUACAUCUGAACAAUAACAAUACAAGUCAGUGUACAUAUACGCGGAUCAACUUCCCGUCACAUGACUCUGUGGGGAUGAUGUCACUUCCUCUGUAACAGUGUCUUCUGGGUACUGUAGUACUUCACGUGUCACCGCAGUAGCUACCUGGGAAAUGCGAUGCGUUGAGUUCAACUCCUCUCCCCAGUGCACCAGUGUGUUAAAAUUGGUUGUGUAUGAUAUCUAAACCUCUGUUCAACUACAGUUUAUU